Long non-coding RNA from Pezoporus occidentalis (night parrot), 1523 nucleotides. RefSeq lists it as uncharacterized. NCBI's taxonomy places the organism in Eukaryota, Metazoa, Chordata, Aves, Psittaciformes, Psittacidae. The transcript has 5 exons. The record is from RefSeq and is a predicted model, not a curated record.
UAGUCCUUCCUCUCUGAAUGAGAGGAAUUGGUCCUGGCAGACUACAUGUACAGUGUUCUCAAGUGCUGGCAGUCGAAGAAGCCCUUCUGUGAUUUCCUGGGAAUUGUUUCAAAGCAGUUAAAAUAGGAAAACAUCGAGCACAGUUUUACAGAGCUGCAUCAGAAUAAUUCCAGCAGCCAAGACUGCAAAUGCUUGUAACGAAAUCUGAAUUGAGACUAAUACUCCAGCUUCAAUAGGUGCAGUGCCUGUGCAGAACUCCGUCCUUCCAAACUCUUACAAUUCUUCUAAGUCAAAAUCCCAAAUCAAGGUAAAGAUAAUAGACUUUAAAAACAAUUUUCCCACCCCUUCUGUCCUAAAGCUGGCCAUUAACAGUCUUUAAAACAACACCUACAGCCCAUUCCUCAAACAGUUCUAAUAUACCGAGGCAAUUGCUCAUGGAAGGAAUGUAAGACCUAGUCAGCGUCUUAUGGGUUUAUAUCCCAUUUGGAUUUAAAAGGGCUCAUUCAGCAAGAGCAACUUCAGCAUCUGGAAAGCUGCUGCACGUUUUUGCUGUAAAACUGGUAUGGGAUACAUAGGGUUACUUUCUACUACUGUAUUCUAAAGAAAUAUGAAGCAUUGGCAGGUAUGCUUGUAACAUUGUGGGGGUUUAAACAACCUAAAUACUUCUAAUUGAUUUGCUAUUGAAACAGUCCCAGGUGGCAGAAUAUGAAGCGGUAUCAUCUUACAGCUCCACGUGGAAGGUGCUGUCCCUUCUACAUUAUGGAAGAGAAUGAGGAACUGAAGAUGUUGAGGAUGGGCUGAAAGAAGUGGUGGGCCUGUUUUGUUUCUGUGUCACACAAGACUGAAGGGGAUGCUGGAAGGGAAAUGCUGCAUUGCAGGAGAUGUAUUUUGCUCCAGCAUAUGCCAGUUGAUCAUUGUCAGUGUGAGUCAAGAUACUGUCUGGAAACAAGGAGAAUUUGGAAGAGAGACACCCAUGUAGUGUGCAAAGCAUGCGUCAAAGAGCCCAAUCUGUGGUCAUCCCUUGCUGGGGAGUCUCAUUCAAAGUUUUCCUUCUCUCUCCAGCAGCAUUUUUUUAACCAUUCCUUUGUACUACAAGGCAAUCGAUCAUGGGGAGAACCUCGGUGUGUGAUGUUCAGGUAAAGCGACUCAUUGAGUAGGUUGUGAUGCACCAUUUCUCUGACGUACUGGACUUGGAAACAGAAGAAGAAACAGAAAAGCAGAAUAUUGGACAAAUGUACAUUUAACCCUGCGUACUCUGAAGUCAUCCCUGCAGUAGAAGUCAAGGAUUUUUUCCUGGCAGAACUGUCCCACAGUGAUAUCCAUAUUCCUCUUCGCUGAUGCUACUCGAAGUCUUUUCAAUCCCUUUUAUAUCAAUAGGAUUUCCAACCUUAACCCAUUGCUGCAAGGGUCCUGGACUUGAAUGUACAGCCACUGAAUGUUGCUGUGCUCCCUCAUUGGCAGCACAAACAUGAUCUUAAAAAUUAAGGAGAUGCCUGCUAGGGAAAUUUUUCUAUAUAGGGACA